RNAcentral lists this ribosomal RNA (119 nucleotides) under Pteropus alecto (black flying fox). Lineage: Eukaryota; Metazoa; Chordata; Mammalia; Chiroptera; Pteropodidae. The record is from RNAcentral.
GUCUACAGCCAUGCUACCCUGAACAAGCCCAAUCCCGUCUGAUCUCGGAAGCUAAGAAGGGUUGGGCCUGGUUGGUACUUGGAUGGGAGACCACCUAGGAAGACCAGGUGCUGUAGGCA